GUAAACUCACAAACAAGUUUCUUCUUUUUCAAAAUGUUUCAAGUGCCCUGGGAGCAUCACUCCCAGACCCCUGUCCCUGAAAAGUCUUCAGUUCCGGUUCACUCACUGUCCAGACAUUAGGUACGGGAGAGUUAAUGCCAGUUCCAGCUACAGUGGAAACUCCAGGCUUCUUGGGGUUACAGUGAGGACACCUGAGACCUGAUCCUGGGCAGUCUCAGUCAGAGUUAAACAUUUGAGUUGUUAGUGUAUGGUGUCUGCAGCAUGACCAUGCAGAAUCUAGAAUCUCAUCUCCUGGAUGUGGGGGGCAGAAAUUGAACCAAAGUCCUCUGUUCUACUGUUAUUUCCUCCCUUACCAAUAGGGUCAACUUUUAAUCCUAAUGUUUAAAGUCAUUUUUUAUCCUAAUGUCCAGUUGGCAAUUUUACUUUUGCACAUUGAAGAUUAAGUCUUGUUCUCUUGGAGGCAGAGGCAGAGGCAGAAGCAGAGGCAGAGGCAGAGGCUGAUCUCUGUGAGUUCGAGACCAGCCUGGUCUACAGAGUGAGUUCCAGAAAAAGCCUCCAAAGCCACAGAAAAGCCCUGUUUCAAGUGUGUGUGUGUGUGUGUGUGUGUGUGUGUGUGUGUGUGUGCGCGCGCGCGCGCGCACAAGUGUGCCUGGUGCCCAUGGAAGUCAGAAGAGGGCUCUAGAUUUGAGAAAAUUCCAAAUGUUUUACAAAGUGGCUUCAGCACUUACAUGCCCACCAAGCAGUGCAAGCGCCUCCUAAUCCCUCCUCUACUAAUACUUGUGGCUGUCGUUUCCACUCUAGCCAUCUUGAUGUUUGCUUUAAAAAAGAUUUUUUCAUUUAUGUGCGUGAGUGUUUUUCCUGCAUUUAUAUAGGUGUACCACAUGCAUGAAGUGCUUGCGGAGGCCAUACAAGGAAGGGCAUUGGAUCCUGUGAAACUGGAGUUGCAGUUGUGAGCUGCCAUUCGAAUCCUGGGAACCAAACCUGGGUCCUCUGCAAGAGCAACUAAUGCUCUUGACUGCUGAGCCUCUCCCCAGCCACACCCCCAUCCUUACUCUCCAGACACUGCUUUGUUCUGACGUCUAAGACGGGACACUCUGCUAGUUUGUCUUCUACCUCAAUUGACGCUUUUCCUUAGCCCCUGUGUGUGUUCACCUCCUUUUCCUCUUUUCUAUUCCUCCUGUUUCUUUACCCAGGUUCCAAAUGUUGGAAUGACCCCAGGCUUUGUCUAGAGACAGUUUCUCUAUUACAGAGUCUUGCUAUGUGAUGUCAUCUCCUGUGUUUAAAUAGUGUGUGCACAUUACUUGGCAUGAUCUCCAUAUAUCCAGUUGCUUACUUAACUCUUAGAUUGCCUUAUUCGAAACUUAAUGUUAACAAAGUCCAUAAGAACGCCUAUCUCCCCUCUCCAAACUUUAGACAAUGAAUCUGAUUUCCAUGGGGUUGGUUAACUGAUCCUCCCCAGUGCUGGGGUUAUAGGUGCGUAAGCCUUGAGAGUUCCAUGGUGACACAAUGUAGAUGGAUUUUGACUAUACAGUGACCAUGAGGACAUGUCGAGGGCUGAAGUGUGGCUCAGAGCAGAACAUCCUUCUAGUGCACACAGGCAUCUGACCUCAGGGAACGGCAAAGAGAAAGAAGGAGGGGACACGGUAGCCCUUUUCUAAGUGGGACAAUGGACAAAUGUACUCAGUGACACCUUUAAUCCCAGGACUCAGGAGACAGAGGCAGGCAGAUCUCUCUAAAUCCUAGACCAGCCUGGGCUACAUAGUAAGACCCUGCUAUUUUUUUAAUACUUUAAAAAUAAAAUUUGAAACAAUUUUUUUUUUUUUGGUUUU
RNAcentral lists this long non-coding RNA (1829 nucleotides) under Cricetulus griseus (Chinese hamster). RNAcentral describes it as "lncRNA (ENSCGRG00015034921.1)". The record is from RNAcentral. Lineage: Eukaryota; Metazoa; Chordata; Mammalia; Rodentia; Cricetidae.